AUGAGUACUUCCUUCAUGGAUUCAUCAAACCCUGCUUACUUGCACUUUAUAUCAAAAUGGUCUCAAACUGCAGCCCUGCAUACAAGACAAUUCACCAAUUUUGUUAACUUCUCCACCAGUUCAAGUAUCCAAAACCAGAAUAAAUAUCAAUAUGACCGUGACCUGCAUCAAUUAUCCAACAGUCCAGAUCUGCAUUCUGUUCACACCAGAAAAAUCAGAAAAUGGAAGAAAAUAUCAGAACAGAAAAUCAGAAGUAAAGAAGCCUACAGCUUCCAAGCCCAAAGCCAAGUCAAAGGCUAA
Vicia faba (fava bean) is the source of this 300-nucleotide non-coding RNA. Lineage: Eukaryota; Viridiplantae; Streptophyta; Magnoliopsida; Fabales; Fabaceae. The record is from the annotation of a GenBank genome assembly.